This 221-nucleotide microRNA precursor is filed under the name Oryza nivara. RNAcentral describes it as "MIR812 microRNA precursor family". It matches the Rfam family "MIR812 microRNA precursor family". Lineage: Eukaryota; Viridiplantae; Streptophyta; Magnoliopsida; Poales; Poaceae. The record is from Rfam by way of RNAcentral.
AAUAAAUACAGUUUUAACACGGUUCAUGCUCAAUGUUUCAUCGUUCGUCUUAUUUGAAAAACAAUUAUGAUUAGUAUUAUUAUUAUUAUUAUUAUUAUUAUUAGAUGAUAAUGCAUGAAUAGUACUUUAUGUGUGACUAAUAUUUUUAAUUUUUUUCAUAAAAUUUUUAAAUAAGACGGACAGUCAAAAAUAUUGAAUAUAUAUCUAUGGCUGUAUUUAUU